UACGUAGGUCCCGAGCGUUGUCCGGAUUUAUUGGGCGUAAAGCGAGCGCAGGUGGUUUAUUAAGUCUGGUGUAAAAGGCAGUGGCUCAACCAUUGUAUGCAUUGGAAACUGGUAGACUUGAGUGCAGGAGAGGGGAGUGGAAUUCCAUGUGUAGCGGUGAAAUGCGUAGAUAUAUGGAGGAACACCGGUGGCGAAAGCGGCCCUCUGGCCUGUAACUGACACUGAGGCUCGAAAGCGUGGGGAGCAAACAGG
Molecule: ribosomal RNA, 252 nt
Filed under: uncultured bacterium
Lineage: Bacteria
Description: partial 16S ribosomal RNA
Rfam family: Bacterial small subunit ribosomal RNA
Source: RNAcentral